AGUUCGCGUGCGAUUUGAGUAGUUUAGGUUUUUUUUCAAGAAACCUAAACUGCUCAAACACUGCAGUCUUGCU
Molecule: microRNA precursor, 73 nt
Filed under: Picea abies (Norway spruce)
Lineage: Eukaryota; Viridiplantae; Streptophyta; Pinopsida; Pinales; Pinaceae
Description: miR11419 stem-loop (pab-MIR11419)
Source: miRBase by way of RNAcentral